GUGAACGCUGGCGGUAGGCCUAACACAUGCAAGUCGAACGGCAGCACAGUAAGAGCUUGCUCUUACGGGUGGCGAGUGGCGGACGGGUGAGGAAUACAUCGGAAUCUACUUUUUCGUAGGGGAUAACGUAGGGAAACUUACGCUAAUACCGCAUACGACCUACGGGUGAAAGCAGGGGAUCUUCGGACCUUGCGCGAUUGAAUGAGCCGAUGUCGGAUUAGCUAGUUGGCGGGGUAAAGGCCCACCAAGGCGACGAUCCGUAGCUGGUCUGAGAGGAUGAUCAGCCACACUGGAACUGAGACACGGUCCAGACUCCUACGGGAGGCAGCAGUGGGGAAUAUUGGACAAUGGGCGCAAGCCUGAUCCAGCCAUACCGCGUGGGUGAAGAAGGCCUUCGGGUUGUAAAGCCCUUUUGUUGGGAAAGAAAAGCAGCAGGUUAAUACCCCGCUGUCCUGACGGUACCCAAAGAAUAAGCACCGGCUAACUUCGUG
RNAcentral lists this ribosomal RNA (491 nucleotides) under uncultured bacterium. Its description in RNAcentral is "partial 16S ribosomal RNA". It matches the Rfam family "Bacterial small subunit ribosomal RNA", at positions 29 to 507 of the family's 1533-position model. The record is from RNAcentral.